This 223-nucleotide non-coding RNA is filed under the name Perkinsus marinus ATCC 50983. Its description in RNAcentral is "Eukaryotic large subunit ribosomal RNA". It matches the Rfam family "Eukaryotic large subunit ribosomal RNA", at positions 1 to 226 of the family's 3401-position model. The record is from Rfam by way of RNAcentral. Lineage: Eukaryota; Perkinsozoa; Perkinsida; Perkinsidae.
AAGGCCUGAUGUGUGUGAGAUUACCCGCUGAAUUUAAGCAUAUAAGUAAGCGGAGGAAAAGAAACUAACUAGGAUUCCCUUAGUAAUGGCGAAUGAACAGGGAUCAGCUCAGUGCCAAAUCGGAAUCACUUGUGGUUCUGAAAUGUGGCUUGAAGGCAGUACCAGUGGCAUCGCGGACGAAAGUCUCUGGAAAAGAGCGUCAUAGAGGGUGAGAAUCCCGUGA